AGACAGAUAGGAGAGUGGGGGCUGCCAGGGGCUGGGGAGGGGCUUGAGGAGCUGGUGUUUCAUGGGGACGGAGUUUCAGUUUAGGAAGAUGGAAAAGUCCUGGAGAUGGAUGGAGGGGCUGGGUGGAGC
Non-coding RNA from Ceratotherium simum simum (southern white rhinoceros), 129 nucleotides. The record is from RefSeq and is a predicted model, not a curated record. NCBI's taxonomy places the organism in Eukaryota, Metazoa, Chordata, Mammalia, Perissodactyla, Rhinocerotidae.